RNAcentral lists this ribosomal RNA (81 nucleotides) under Periophthalmus magnuspinnatus. The record is from RNAcentral. Lineage: Eukaryota; Metazoa; Chordata; Actinopteri; Gobiiformes; Gobiidae.
UAACAUUUUCAAAACAAGCAGGGCUGGGUCUGGUUAGAACUUGGAUGGGAGACCGCUGGGAAUACCAGAUCAAAGUGGGGC